This is an RNA transcript of Mastomys coucha (southern multimammate mouse), 2062 nucleotides long. It is a transcript of the gene named Y+L amino acid transporter 2 pseudogene, with no coding region annotated. The record is from RefSeq and is a predicted model, not a curated record. NCBI's taxonomy places the organism in Eukaryota, Metazoa, Chordata, Mammalia, Rodentia, Muridae. The transcript has a single exon.
AUGAUUUACCAUGGAGCUAAGGAACUUGGGAGCCCCAUACCCACCUACCAUCCUCUCCCCAAGGCCAACCAACACAUUGUAAAAGAAGAUGGCACCUAACCAUCUCAAGGGUCUCCAGAAGCUAUGCAGCUAAAGGAGAUCUCCUUGCUGAACAGGGCCAGCCUGGUGAUGGACAAUAUGAUUGGCUCAGUGACCUUUCUCUCACCGAAGGGUGUUCUAAAAUAUACUGCUUCCUGUGUGUUGUCAGUUGUAGUGUGGGCCACUGGUGGGCUAUUCUCUGUUGUAGGUACACUUUGUUAUGCAGAACUGGGAACCACUAUCACCAAGUCAGGGGCUAGUUAUACUUAUAUUCUAGAGACCUCUGGGAGCUUCAUUGCCUUUAUCCAUCUGUGGGUCUCACUUCUAAUUGUUGAAUCCACCAGUCAGGCCAUCAUCACCGUCACCUUUAUCAAGUAUAUCAUCAAACCCUCCUUCCCCACCUGUGAUCCUCCAUAUGUGGCAUGCCAUCUCCUCUCUGCUACCUGCAUAUAUCUGGUGAUAUUUGUGAACUGUGCCUAUGUCAAAUGGGCGCAUGAGUACAAGACACAUUCAUGUAUGCCAAGGUCCUGGCACUCAUUGCCAUCAUUAUCAUGGGCCUUGUUAAACUGUGCCGGGGACACAAUGAGCACUUUCAGGACACCUUUACAGGUUCCUCGUGGAAUAUGGGAGACCUCUCUCUUGUCCUGUACUCUGCCUUUUUCUCUUACUCAGGUUGGGGCACCUUUAAUUUUGUAACAGAAGAAAUCAAAAACUCAGAAAGGAAUUUGCCCUUGGCCAUUGGGAUUUCUAUGCCCAUUGUGACACUCAUCUACAUCAUGACAAAUGUGGCCUAACAGUGUGGAAUGUUCAGAAUGUACAGAAGAAUGAUGCUAUGGUUGUGACACUGGAUGAGCAAACAUUUGGCAUGUGCAGUUGGACCAUCCCCAUUACUGUUGUUCUGUCCUGAUUUGGGAGCCUAAAUGCAUCUUUGCUUCAUCAAGGUAGUUUUUCGUGGGCUCUAGUGAGGGCCACCUUCUGAACCUUCUGUCCAUGAUCCACAUUGAGUACAUUACUGUUCAAUUGCACCGUGACACUUAUCUACUUCCUCAUGAAGGAUGUUUUACUGCUCAUCAACUACUUCAGCUUUAGCUACUGGCUCUUUGUGGGCUUGUCUAUUGUCGGACAGUUCUAUUUUCACAGGAAAGAGCCUGAUUGGCCUUGACCUCUCAAGCUGAGCCUCUUUUUUCCCCAUCGUGUUCUGCGUAUGCUCCUUGUUUCUCGUGGCUGUACCCCUCUCCAAUGAUACCAUCAAUCCCCUCAUUGGCAUUGGGAUUGCCCUCUCUGGAGUCCCUGUCUACUUCAUGGGUGUUUAUUUGCCAGAGUCCUGGAGGCCACUCUUGCUUAGGAAUGUUAUGGCUACUGUCACCAGAGUAACCCAGAAGCUUUACGUAUUGACUGAACUAGAUGUAGCUGAAAAGAAAAAUGUUGAGAGGAAAACUGACUAGAAGUUGGAGAUGACAUUCCCUGGAGCUCAGGAGGCUGUGACCACAGCCACCAAAGACCAGUUCCCUAAACCUUCUGAAUUAAAAGAGCCUCUUGGCCCACAUUCUGUAAGGGGGCUCAGGGCCAAUGCUCUCUCAUUGGUAAGCUAUGGGAACAUACCAAUCAGGCCAGCCUGAAGAAGGGAACUUCAGUGGGAGGGGAGGUUGGGGCAGGGCAUUGAUUUAGUUUUAUUUCUGAUGAGUAGAUAAAGCCCUGAAGGAAUAUUAGACUGGAAGCUCUGGCUCUUGAUUCACAGCUCUUUGUAGUUUAAACUGGGAGUCUACAGUGGGGCUCCUUCAUGGGAAGUUUUCCUCUGACCAAGUCCAGCUACUUGAUUUUUAGAGGUCUGAAAUGCUACCAUUUCUUCCUAUGGUUCAAAAUUCUUCCUUGAGGAGAGUGUUGCAUUCCCUUCUUGUUUGUUGGGUAGCAUGAACAGCAAGGUGUUAUUUAACUGACAUGGGAUCAAUGUGUGCCUCCUUUCCUGAAUUCCCAAGAGGAACAA